CCUACGGGUGGCAGCAGUGAGGAAUAUUGGUCAAUGGACGAGAGUCUGAACCAGCCAAGUAGCGUGAAGGAUGACUGCCCUAUGUGUUGUAAACUUCUUUUAUAAAGGAAUAAAACGAGCCACGCGUGCCUUUUUGCAUGUACUUUAUAAAAAAGGAUCGGCUAAACCCGUGCCAGCAGCCGAGGUAAUACGGAGGAUCCGAGGUUUUUCCGGAUUUGUUGGGUUUAAAGGGAGCGUAGAUGGGUUGUUAAGUCAGUUGUGAAAGUUUGCGGCUCAACCGUACAAUUGCGAUUGAAACUGGUAGUCUUGAGUACAGUUGAGGUAAGCGGAAUGCGUGGUGUAGCGGUGAAAUGCUUAGAUAUCACGAAGAACCCCGAUUGCGAAGGCAGCUUACUAAACUGUGACUGACAUUGAUGCUCGAAAGUGUGGGUAUCAAACAGGAUUAGAUACCCCUGUAGUC
Molecule: ribosomal RNA, 460 nt
Filed under: uncultured bacterium
Lineage: Bacteria
Description: partial 16S ribosomal RNA
Rfam family: Bacterial small subunit ribosomal RNA
Source: RNAcentral